RNAcentral lists this long non-coding RNA (799 nucleotides) under Equus caballus (horse). RNAcentral describes it as "lncRNA (ENSECAG00000014824.4)". The record is from RNAcentral. Lineage: Eukaryota; Metazoa; Chordata; Mammalia; Perissodactyla; Equidae.
AAUAAACUCAGAGUGGCCAUCAGCCCUCUCCGCAUCUAUCCUGAUGUGUACAUUGGAUUGCGACACCAACAUAUGGUGACCCCCGACGUGAUCCAAGAUAGGUGGCAUUAUUGAGGAUGGUACAUCAGCUGCAGAAAGAUAUAUUGGUCAAACUCAGAACCAUAUGGCCCAACAAAGGCCGCAUUACACACAUCUGUUUUGACACAACAUCGUGGCAAACUGUGGAUUAAAACGUCCUUAUACGGAUAUCUGGGAGGGCCCUUUUAUGGUUAAAUGUGGGAAGAGAGGAGCUCUUUGUGUUUUGAAGAUAAAGGCGUUGAGUGCAUUCCAUCAAAACGCACACAGCCUGCUCUGGAAUAACUGGAAAAUGGACAAACGGGUCCACAGAAAGGAAGAAAAGAAGGAUAAUGAACAAAAGAGGGAGAAAGAGGAAAAGAAGAGGAGAGGGCAAGGUGAAGAGAGAAGAAAAAGUUAAGAAAUCGGAGAGAAGAAGAAUCAAGAUUUCAGUUGUGUGAAGGAGUGUGUUUCAAGAAAUCAGCAUGUUACAAUAAUGCUUGCCCACAAACUUGACCCCAGGAAUUCACAGUGAACAUGCAGGAGAAAUGUGUAAAUAUCUUUAAAUGUGACCUCCAGGUCCUAGAGGCCAAAUGACACUAUGCAAAGUUUAUCAACCUGGGGAACGUGAGCCAAGUGUCUCAUGAAAACAAAUAGUAAACGUAGAGUAUGUUCCAAAAUUGAGAUCAGACCAUACUGGAUAUUACUGACGAGGAAUCAAAUUGCCAUUAACUUUUAAAAUAAA